This 301-nucleotide ribosomal RNA is filed under the name uncultured bacterium. RNAcentral describes it as "partial 16S ribosomal RNA". It matches the Rfam family "Bacterial small subunit ribosomal RNA", at positions 509 to 807 of the family's 1533-position model. The record is from RNAcentral.
CAGUAGCCGCGGUAAUACGAGGGGGGCAAGCGUUGUUCGGAAUUAUUGGGCGUAAAGGGCGCGUAGGCGGUUUGGCAAGUUUGGUGUGAAAUCUUCGGGCUCAACUCGAAGUCUGCAUCGAAAACUGCCGGGCUUGAGUAUGGGAGAGGUGAGUGGAAUUUCCGGUGUAGCGGUGAAAUGCGUAGAUAUCGGAAGGAACACCUGUGGCGAAAGCGGCUCACUGGACCAUUACUGACGCUGAGGCGCGAAAGCUAGGGGAGCAAACAGGAUUAGAUACCCCAGUAGUCCCUGUCUCUUAUAC